Long non-coding RNA from Choloepus didactylus (southern two-toed sloth), 1759 nucleotides. RefSeq lists it as uncharacterized. Lineage: Eukaryota; Metazoa; Chordata; Mammalia; Pilosa; Megalonychidae. The record is from RefSeq and is a predicted model, not a curated record. The transcript has 7 exons.
GGAGCCAUGAGAUUGGGGGGGGUUCCUUGUGCAGGGGCACUCUUCAAGGGCAAGAAUCAUCAAGGGGACCAAGGUGAGAACAAGUUCCGGAAGGUGGUGGGUAAAGACGCCAUGGAAUGCCCAAAGAUCCCUCCGUGAGGGACGCGGGGCCAUUCCUGAGCCAUCUUCCUCUGGGGACGCAGUGGAAUCACUUUGCUGGCCUCUGGUCCAGGUCCUAGGGCAUGGAAGGGCUGUAGGGACAUCCCUGGGGGGCUGCCUGGAGGAGGCGGCAGGGAGGUUUCACAUGGCCGUGUUCUUUCUUUCUCCGUCGUCCAGCUCUAGCCCCAAGUUGUUCCUUCCUUCCUUCUUUGUCUUUUUCUCUCUUUUUUUCUCUUUUUCCUUUUUCCUCUCAUCUUCAUUACUGUAGGGAUAGAAAGGCCCUGGAUCAUAUGAAGAAACGGAGUCAUUCCCGUUUCCUGGGCAUUUCCUAUACCAGGCCUGGUGAUGAGCAUUUUACAAACAGUCUCCUGCUUCCUCCUCCAAAAAGCCCUCCAGGGGCAGCCUCGUGGUUUCCAUUUCACAAAGGCCCGAAACAGGCUCAGAUGAUUCAUCUGGAGAAUUAUACACCUGCACACCCCCAGGCCACCAUCUUGUCUGACAGAUACUGAGAUACAGGGAACAGUGUUCCAGCAGAGGGAACAGCAAGUGCAAAGGCCCUGAGGUGGAGAGGUGUGUCGGUCACCUGUGCACCCCUGUCCCCCUCCGAGGGGGGGGCUCACACGCCUACCCUGUACACUCGACACCCGCUCCCAGGGCCGUACCUCAGGUCCACAUCCUGGUACAGGCCUGAGGACAAGGUGUUUUGUGCAGAGAAGCCACCAGCAGGGCGAGGACGGAGAGCAGGUGCUGCGGCCGCUUGGACCAGCCAGACAUGCAUAUAUUAAGCACCUACGCUCGGCUGAGGCUGUGCGGAGUUAGGUUCCGGAAAGGAGAGGGACGCGGAAGGAUGGAAAUGACCAGUGACAGGCCAACAGCAGCUGCCACCAGAGAAAGAGGACACUUCUCCAUCACGCCAGGGCUCUGGCCUGUGUUAAAUUCCACCCAGGGAGCUGGAACCCGGGCCGGAGCCGAGGACACGGGCCGGCUCAGUCCAACUCCCAGAAGGUUUUCUGAACCGGUCGUGGACGAGGUCCUUGAUGAGGUGGCCAACGAUGGCGUAGGCCACGGCCACCACGAGGAGCGCGGCCAGCAGCAGGUACAGCGCGUACCUGGGCAGGCGGACGGCGUCCAGUGGCGGCGGGCGGUACUCCAGGUCAGCUCCAUCUUUGCACCUGCUGAUUGCUCUGCCGAGAAUGCCCUGCACCCCCAAACGUCACGGGGCUGGUUCCCUGGCUUCAUUCAUUCAUCUAAUAUUUGUCAGGCCCCCCAAGGUGGGUGGGGACACAGAUGGGAACAAGACAGAACCAAGACUCUGUCCCCGCAGAGAGGACCUGGAAGGCGAGAUGAUGCUAGGAAACAAACAGCUCCUUGCAAUAAAUGAUACAGCUUCAUUCACAACAAGCCAAAAGGCUGAAGCAACCCGAGUGUCCGUCAACAGAUUCCCCCAAUGGAAUAUUAUCCGAUCAGAAGAAAAAGCCAAGUUCUGAGACAGGUCACCUUGAAAAUGUGCUACUCGGUGAAAGAAGCCAGACACAUAAGGACAAAAAAUGUAUGACGUCACUUAGAUGACUGGAAAUGGCACAUUUGCAGAGAUAGAAAGUAGAUUAGCGGUGAAAGGGGG